AUACGGAGGAUCCGAGCGUUAUCCGGAUUUAUUGGGUUUAAAGGGAGCGCAGGCGGAGAUGCAAGCGUGACGUCAAAUUUCGGGGCUCAACCCCGUCUCGCGUCGCGAACUGCGUCCCUUGGUUGCGGGAAGGGGAGGCGGAACUCGUGGUGUAGCGGGGAAAUGCAUAGAUAUCACGAAGAACUCCGAUCGCGAAGGCAGCCUUCCGGCCCGUCAACGACGCUCAUGCUCGAAGGUGCGGGUAUCAAACAGGAUUAGAUACCCUGGUAGUCCGCACAGUAAACGAUGGACACCCGCGGUUUGGCCUGUAUGGCUGAGCCGCCAAGCGAAAGCGUUAAGUGUCCCACCUGGGGAGUACGCCGGCAACGGUGAAACUCAAAUGAAUUGACGGGG
RNAcentral lists this ribosomal RNA (393 nucleotides) under uncultured bacterium. Its description in RNAcentral is "partial 16S ribosomal RNA". It matches the Rfam family "Bacterial small subunit ribosomal RNA", at positions 523 to 918 of the family's 1533-position model. The record is from RNAcentral.